AGCGACCGGUCUCGGUUGGUGACCAGCGGAGGGAUAUUACCGAGUUAUUACUCCAAACCCUUUGUGAACCUUACCAUUUUGUUGCUCGGCGCACCGCGGGCCGCGGCUUCGGCCCGUCCCGCAGCGCGCCAGAGGACCCAACUCUUCAAUUUAUAGCGUACCUUCUGAUUUACAAAACAAACAAGUUAAAACUUUCAACAACGGAUCUCUUGGUUCUGGCAUCGAUGAAGAACGCAGCGAAAUGCGAUAAGUAAUGUGAAUUGCAGAAUUCAGUGAAUCAUCGAAUCUUUGAACGCACAUUGCGCCCGGCAGUAAUCUGCCGGGCAUGCCUGUCCGAGCGUCAUUUCACCCCUCGAGCCGCUUUUAGUGGAUCGGUGUUGGGGCACUACGGUAAAACGUAGGCCCCGAAAUGAAGUGGCGGUCCCGCCGCGGUGCCCCCAUGCGUAGUAACGUUUAGUCUCGCAUCGGGUCCCGGCGGAGGCCUGCCGUCAAGCCUAUUUAUUCUCAGAAUAGUUUGACCUCGGAUCAGGUAGGGUUACCCGCUGAACUUAAGCAUAUC
RNAcentral lists this ribosomal RNA (559 nucleotides) under Lophotrichus fimeti. RNAcentral describes it as "eukaryotic LSU rRNA". The stretch from base 190 to 343 matches the Rfam family "5.8S ribosomal RNA". The record is from RNAcentral. Lineage: Eukaryota; Fungi; Ascomycota; Sordariomycetes; Microascales; Microascaceae.